This 1813-nucleotide long non-coding RNA is filed under the name Canis lupus familiaris (dog). RNAcentral's name for it is "lncRNA (ENSCAFG00845025110.1)". The record is from RNAcentral. Lineage: Eukaryota; Metazoa; Chordata; Mammalia; Carnivora; Canidae.
UUUUUUCCCAAAAAUUUUAUUGGGGGAAACUACAAAACAUUUACAGUACAAUGUUUACAGUCACAAUUUGUAGUGAACUGAUUCCCCAAAAUAUAUUACAACUCAAGUUGACUUAUCUUGUUACAUUCAAAAACCUACUUCUGUCAAAGUAGUCCAGAGUACAUACAUACAGAGUGCUCCAACUGUACCUACGUACAAACAAACUAAAGCUACUGCUCAUUCAUCCGCUGUCCAGGAAAGCAUUCCUGCCUUUCUACACACGCAAAAAAAAAAAAAAAAAAAAAAAAAAAAAAAAAAAAAGUUUUGGAAUUUUCUGUAAUGAAACAAGGCAUAUUCAUGUACUACAUACCAUUUUUUUUUUAGCACUAAGAGGUGGCCUCUUCACUUUAGAUCUAUAUAAAAAAAGUGGUAAAUAUCUUUUCCUUUUGUGCAGUUGAACCCAUCCUACAUUCAAAUUCUCUCAAGCACUAAUAGAAAAAUACUUAUUUGGUUGAGGAAGAUUUAAGGCAAGUUCUGGCCCUUCCAAAGGCACUGCGAGACUAAACCCCCACCCCAUUAUUGCUACAUGUCUUUAUACGCAGAGUAUGUCACAGUAGAAUUGGUGGAAUAAACAAAAGACCUUUUUUUUUUUUUGCUAAUUUAAAAAGUUGGAAUGAGAAAAGCAUGCCACAUUGAAGCCUGAUUUGCAAAGUAUGUGGUCACUUCUUUAAAGUUGGAUGGGCUACAACCAUUAUACAUUCUAAGAAAACUCAUAAGAUAUUCCUCAAACUACUUCCACAGCAUCAGGAUAGGAUUUCUGUAAAGAAAUCACGCAAUCUUUCAAAAUUUACGUAAACAAGGAAAGAAAUUAAUGAAAUAAAUAUUACAUACAAUCUCUUAAAUUAAGAUUUUUUUUUACUCAUUUACAAUAAAAUAACCAAGUGAAGUUACAAAAGGCAUAUAUUACUGUGAAAAGAACAUACACUCCACAUUUUGCCGAUUAAUAAUGGCAAUCAUAAUUUAACAUAAUAAAAGAAUAUAUAUCUAUUGCUUUUCAUCAUACUUGAUAAAUACAGUAUGAACAAAAUUUUCAAUGUAUACUUUUCACAAGAUAAUAAAUAAGUUAAAUAGUUUUUUCAUAUUGAGUUGUGGUGCAGUGGUGCGAAUCAACUCAAAACAGCUAAAAAUUCAGCAGUUAUUCCCCCCAACGAUUACGAACUAAGCUCUGCCCAAGGCUUCCAGAAAGAGCAGACAAAAUGGUUCUAAAAUUAAACAUCCACUAAGUGGUGGCAAUGAAACCAGUAACCAGUAGGAAACUUUGGAAUGCAGGUGUUUUUUUUUUUUUCCCAGACAAAAAAACUUGGUGUCAAACAAACAAAAACCUAGGGAGCUGAGGACUACAAUCAAGGCAUAUUCCUGGUAGAAUGUUGGAUUCCAGAAGCUUAGAGGUUUAGCAAGGUGGUGGCUGGCUGGUUUGUUUACACUGGUCUGAGACAAACGACAAUUAGGAACUUCAAGAUAAGAGUUCCCACAUCUGGACUGUAACUAAUGCUUUUCAAGUGAAGAUAUGGAAUGGUGGUUGGUAGCUGCUGGUGCUGGGUUGAUUUUAUUUUAUUUUUUUCCUAAAGUCCCAAACUCCUAGGAGACCUAAAAAAGUUUAAGUGUUUGGUUUUUCUUUUUUUUUUUUUUUGUUCUGUUCGCAUCACAACUGCCCUGUUGUGAAUAUUUUUGUUCAUCAAUACAAAAGUUCGUUGGCUUUGUUUUGCUCAACAAGAAUGAAAACUUCGUAAUAAUAAUAAAAAUAAUAAUUAAAAAAAAAAAAAAAAAAGAGGAA